GCAUAACGCGAAGAACCUUACCUAGGCUUGACAUGCAUCUCUAAGCACGUGAAAGCGUGUGACCCUUCGGGGAAUUUGCACAGGUGCUGCAUGGCCGUCGUCAGCUCGUGUCGUGAGAUGUUGGGUUAAGUCCCGCAACGAGCGCAACCCUUGUGACUAGUUGCCAGCACGUUAUGGUGGGAACUCUAGUCAGACUGCCCAGAUCAACUGGGAGGAAGGUGGGGACGACGUCAGGUCAAUAUGGCCCUUACGCCUAGGGCUGCACACGUACUACAAUGCCCAGCACAAUGAGAACCGAGACCGCGAGGUGGAGGAAAUCUAAAAAACUGGGCCCAGUUCGGAUUGGAGGCUGCAACUCGCCUCCAUGAAGUUGGAAUCGCUAGUAAUGGCGCAUCAUCUACGGCGCCGUGAAUACGUUCCCGGGUCUUGUACACACCG
This 438-nucleotide ribosomal RNA is filed under the name uncultured bacterium. RNAcentral describes it as "bacterial SSU rRNA". It matches the Rfam family "Bacterial small subunit ribosomal RNA", at positions 954 to 1392 of the family's 1533-position model. The record is from RNAcentral.